AGGCACAUUCACCCACACAAAUAAAUACAGCUGGAAGAUUUCUCAGAACAAGCUGUUCUGGUAAGAAGACAUACCAGCCCUGUGAUCCAGCAACUCUUAACCUGGAAGCAAUACCACCUUGGGGAUAUGCGUGGGCAAUUUUCCACAUUGCUGCACUGGAACAGAUUGGAUUAGGGUGGAGCAAGACCCGAAGCAAAUGUUGUGGUAAUCUACAGAAUAUUUCCUUUCCUUUGUUUGAUCUGAUGCCUUGAGACUUCAUGGGAUCUGCAGUUAAUGUCAGGACUUCUACAGCAACUCCUUCCCAAUGUAUACCACUGAGCCACCAUUUCUGCUGGGCCUGUCCUGCUGGUGAGACUGAAAAUGCUUGACAACGUCCUGGACAUCGUCAGCCUGUAUAAUUCCACGUGUAUGACUCCAACAGAAUAUCACUUGACUAAUCUGUGAGGCAGCUCUCUCAAUUUGGUACUAAACCCCAGAUGUCAGUACAGAGGACUUUGCAGAGAUAAUAAAUCUGUGUUUUGCUUCUGAUGUGUAGCUCAAUGCCGGGUGGCCUGUGCAGUUUAAUUUUUUUUAAGACUAUCUAACAACUGUUACAAGCGAUUGCUAGGCCAUUUCAACAGGCAGGUAAGAAUGAACCAUCUCCUCUGUAUUAAACAGAAGUACUGAGGGCAGCAAAGGCACAGAAUGUAUUCACAGUGGACUCAGUGAAACUUGUCAGGUGAAUGUAAUUAUUUUCUUGACUUCUUUCCCAUCAUCUCAGUUCCUAUUUACAACUAUUCUGGGACGUUUUUGUACUCAAUAGUGAAGAUUUUGUUUGAACUCAGACCUGGUAAAAAGUAUUAUGUUAUCGGAUGCUGAAGUACUUUUCCUACAGUGCAAUCUGACACUUCAAAAGAAUUUCACCAGCCAAGAAACACUUUGGACAGCCUAAGGUGAUGAAAGGUACUACAGAAUGUCAAUCUUUUCUUCAAGGCAGCAUGAGCUCUCAAACUACUCAAUGCCUUCUCCAUGGAGAGACAGUGUCACCCGUUUGGUCCCCUGACUUUAUGGAUCUGCCAAAAGAUUAUAAAUUGAUAUUUAUUCAAGAAAUGCAACCUACCUAACUGCUUCAUGUUAGUAUUGAAGUCAAUACUUGUGACAGUAUCACGAUGACCUUUAAAGUGC
This is a long non-coding RNA of Hemiscyllium ocellatum (epaulette shark), 1164 nucleotides long. RefSeq lists it as uncharacterized. Lineage: Eukaryota; Metazoa; Chordata; Chondrichthyes; Orectolobiformes; Hemiscylliidae. The record is from RefSeq and is a predicted model, not a curated record. The transcript is spliced from 3 exons.